RNAcentral lists this small RNA (272 nucleotides) under Vigna angularis var. angularis. RNAcentral describes it as "Non-protein coding transcript". Lineage: Eukaryota; Viridiplantae; Streptophyta; Magnoliopsida; Fabales; Fabaceae. The record is from RNAcentral.
GGUGCACCAACUCAUACAUAUAAUCGAAUUUGCGCUUGGAGCUGUGUCUAAUACAGCUUCGUAUCUACGUUUUCGGGCCCUCAGUUUCAGGAUCGGGCCCCUUUUCUGUCAUUUCAAGGGUUGGUUGCUUGGAAAUUCUAGUCAGGGUAGUUAAUUGACAAAAACUGAUACGGUUUUAUUGUCGUCCACGCAUUAGUUGCAGCUACUUGUUCUACAAGAUUUUCAUACCAUUUUAUUUUAGAUAAAUAGUGACUGGUGUAAAAAUAGAAAAA